GGGGCUGUAGCGCAGCUGGUAGCGCACCUCCAUGGCAUGGAGGGGGUCAGGGGUUCGAGUCCCCUCAGCUCCACCA
This 76-nucleotide transfer RNA is filed under the name Kineosphaera limosa. Its description in RNAcentral is "tRNA-Ala". It matches the Rfam family "tRNA". From Rfam's summary of the family: Transfer RNA (tRNA) molecules are approximately 80 nucleotides in length. Their secondary structure includes four short double-helical elements and three loops (D, anti-codon, and T loops). The record is from RNAcentral. RNAcentral also lists the same sequence under 6 other names. Lineage: Bacteria; Bacillati; Actinomycetota; Actinomycetes; Micrococcales; Dermatophilaceae.